AUCGCUUCUCGGCCUUUUGGCUAAGAUCAAGUGUAGUAACAGUAAGCUAUUAACAGUUAAGUUUGGAAGGAGUCAAAAGUUAUAUGUGAAUUUUCAAUUGCAUGGCAGCGGUCAGCACCCCUAACUCCCAUGUUGUUCAAGUGUCAACUA
This 150-nucleotide small nuclear RNA is filed under the name Capra hircus (goat). RNAcentral's name for it is "U2 spliceosomal RNA (ENSCHIG00010004544.1, ENSCHIG00020015420.1)". The stretch from base 1 to 123 matches the Rfam family "U2 spliceosomal RNA". Rfam says of the family: U2 is a small nuclear RNA (snRNA) component of the spliceosome (involved in pre-mRNA splicing). Complementary binding between U2 snRNA (in an area lying towards the 5' end but 3' to hairpin I) and the branchpoint sequence (BPS) of the intron results the bulging out of an unpaired adenosine, on the BPS, which initiates a nucleophilic attack at the intronic 5' splice site, thus starting the first of two transesterification reactions that mediate splicing. Lineage: Eukaryota; Metazoa; Chordata; Mammalia; Artiodactyla; Bovidae. The record is from RNAcentral.